GACGAACGCUGGCGGCGUGCUUAAUACAUGCAAGUCGAACGAAAAGGCCCUGCUUUUGUGCGUUGCUCGAGUGUCGAACGUGUGAUUAUCACGUGAGUACCCUUCCCUUGUCUUUGGUCUAACUUCGUGAAACUCUGGCUAAUACCGGGUAGGAGUUCCUGCUCCAUGUUGUGCGUUGGUUAGUUUCGGCGGUUGGGUAUGUACUCGCGGCGUCUCAUCUUGUUGGUGGGGUAGUGGCUUACCAAGUCUUUGACGGGUAGCGUGCCUGGUAGAGUUACCGGCCACAGAGAGACUGAGAUACGGCACAAACUCCUACGGGAGGCAGAAGGGGGGAAGAUUGAACAAUGGGCGGAAGCCUGAUGCAGAAACGCCGCGUGCGGGAUGACGGCCUUCGGGGGGUAAACCGCUUGCGCAUGUGACGAAGCGUGAGUGACGGUAAUGGGUAAAGAAGCACCGGCUAACUACGUG
RNAcentral lists this ribosomal RNA (468 nucleotides) under uncultured bacterium. RNAcentral describes it as "partial 16S ribosomal RNA". It matches the Rfam family "Bacterial small subunit ribosomal RNA", at positions 28 to 507 of the family's 1533-position model. The record is from RNAcentral.